UAAAACCAAUAAACUCAUUAAACAUCACUUAAAAUGGCAAGAAAUUAAAGAGGAAUACAUAAAAUAGUUUAAAACAUUUGUACAAUAUUGUGAGAACUCAAAUCAAGUACAAUCCACCAAUGCUUGGAAUACAAAAAAAAAUAGAAUCGCCACAACUAAAUUUUAUUAUCUAAUUAAUCUUAUUUUAAUUUGCCAUGUUUAAACUAAAACUAAGCAGCCCUUGCAAGAACUUCAAGCCUUUCUGGCACAUCAGCUGGCUCAAUGAAGAAAGCCCUCCUCAGAGAUCUCGGCACCGUACUGUCAACACUCCGUCUUCAUAUCCGGCUGAAAUCCGUUCGAUAUCGACCCGGCCCGGAAGCCGGAACUUCCUCAUGAAGGUCCUGCUGCUAGGCUGAUCCGUGGACUCCUCCUCGAUCCUAUUAUGAGGUACACUGAGUCCUCCACUUCUACUUUUAUGUCCUUGUAUAAACUACAUCUCAAAGCCGUUGAAAUAACAAAGUGUAUCGCUCUAGAUACGAGGAUGAUGUGUUGUAUGAUUUUGUUAAAUUCCCCCUUAUACAAAGGAAAGGGAGGAAAGAAAAUUUAUUGUUGUUUGGUGAUUGUUUAGUUAGUUUUCAUUGGUGGAUAUUGAAGUUUAGUUGGUAUAUGUAUUGAAGUUUGGUUGUUUGUAUAUUGAAGUUUGGUUGGUACGUGUAUCAAAGUUUGGUUGUAUAUUAAAUUUUGGUUGAUGUGUGUAUUGAAGUUUGGUUGAUGUGAUUUGUUCGGUUUUUUAAAUUUUGUCCUAAUUUAGAUUUAUUUAAAUUAAAACAUUCACAAAAUUAAAUUAAGAUAACCUAACUCAAAGUAUUAAAAAAGAAUUCUUACCAAAAAAUAAAUAAAUUAACACAACCUUAUGUUUAUUUUUGUCUUAAGUCCGUUGUCUUUUUUUCUUAUCUACAACCUAAUAACUGUGUGUCUUUUUUCUUCGCUACAACUUGAUAAUAUAAUUCAACUAGGAAAAUUACCUAAUUAUGUUUGUAUGUAAUAUUUCAUACGUUUUGUAUUACCAAAAUUACCUUCAAAUCAAUUUUAUUUGUUGGCUUCCUAAGAUCAAAUCACCAUGAAAAAGAUCAUCUACUCGACAUGAACUCACCAAACCCACAGUAGUAGUCAAAUGGGACUUGAAUCCAUGACUGGUCAAAGAAUAAAUUGAUGGGAAGGGAUCCUCUCCGGAUCCCUUCCACCAAUCUGAACCCUUCCACCAAUCUGAACCCUUCAAAUUUGAUUCAACGACUAAAAAUAGAAGACCCCUUUAAAAUUUAUAAUAACUUUAGCCGUUUGAUCAAAUUUUAAGGACUCGGAUUGGUGGAAGUAAUCCAUUUCCAUAAAUUGAUAUCAAAUUCAACAUUUACAAUAUUUGAACCUAAAAUCCUAAACACCAACCCUAAACCAUAAGAGCAUCUCCAAGAUCACCACCUUCAAAACACAUUACGCUCCACCAACCCUAAACCAUAUGAUAAUUUGACGUGCACAUUUUUUUAUUUAAUUUAAUAUUACGUAAAAUAUUUUUAUGAUGCUCCACCAACCCUAAACCAUAUGAUAAUUUGACGUGCACCUUUUUUUAUUUAAUUUAAUAUUACGUUUUCGUAAAAUAUUUUUAUGAACAUUAAGAAAAAGAAUUCUAAUUCCGACACGAAUUUUUUUUUUCUUAAAAAAUAAACGUAAAUAGAAUGGCAUCAUUAACGACUUAUGUCAUCAUUAAUAAUUUCCGAUCGAGAUAAGAUUUCAACUUUUUGCAACUGUUGGAUUGAUUUUCUUAUCUUAAUCUCAUCUGUCGGAUUGUUAUCUCUCUUUUUUCACUAUAAAAGUGAGGUCUCUAUAUUUUUCACCUCCAUCAUUUUUUAAUACAUUCUUCAAACUACCCUUCAAAUAGCCAAACUGCAAUGCUAUAACAUGAUAGCUCAUCUUCCGUUGACGAAGCUAUGAUGGUUAAGACGCCGAUUGCGAUAAGAAAAUCAUAGGCAAAUUGGAUAUCAUUUUUGGAAUUAAGAGUUUUUGGGAUUUGAAUAAGUAAUACUUUAACUGAUUAUUUGGAUCCACACCAAUUCAUCUGCUAUUUCUUCAACAGAUUUUAGUUAAAUAUAUGUGGUUUUUGCUUGCUCUUUUCAAACUUAUCACGAAGCUUGUUAAAUAGAUUUUAUUCAUGUAUAAAAACCACAUAUAUUGAACUAAAAUCUAUUCAAGAAAUAGCAAAUGAAUUUGUGUGGAUCCAAAUAGUCAGUUAAAGUAUUACUUAACCAAAUCCCAAAAACUCUUAAUUCCAAAAAUGAUAUCUAAUUUGCCUACGAUUUUCUCAUCGUUGUCCUAACCAUCAUAGCUUGGUUGUCAUCAACGGAGCUAUCAUGCUACAGUUUGGCUAUUUGAAGGGUAGUUUGAAGGAUGUAUUAAAAAAAAAAUGGAUGCGAAAGAUAUAGAGACCUCACUUUUAUAGUUAAAAAAUAAAUAAAUAAAUAGAUAACAAUUUGACAGAUGAGAUUAAAAUAAGAAAAUCAAUUCAACAGUUGUAAUCGGUACAGAGGAAGAGGGAAGAGAUAAGGAUGAAACCUAAACCCUUUCGAGGGCUUCACGACGUGUCUGCAAAUUUUCAAAAAGCAACACGACACCGAUAAAAAAAACAAAGUCGCAAAAUUAGGGUUGUGGUAAAUUGAAGAAUUGAUUGGUUUGGUUGAGAAACAAUAGCAAUUAAUCAGGUCUGCGGUUUGUGUUGAUGUGAGAGAGGGUGGAGAUAAAUGAGAGAAUUAUUUUGGUUUCUAGGGAGAGGCUUCUAAUUUUCUUGAGAGACAUCUCUCAUCUUUUAGAGAGACGAGAGAGAGACCUAGGGUUUCUCAAUUUACUCAGAAAUGAGAGAAGGGCAUUCAGAUAUAAGAGUAGCCUUUCGACUCUAGGGAGCUCAUUUUCCUGAUGCACGACACGUGUGAGCAUCCUAAGCUUCUGUGCUAUCCGAGGAGUAACGGUCUGAAUUAGAGAGAGGGUUUGGGCUCUGGGCUUGAGGUCAUAAUAGCUGAAAUGAGAGUGGGUGUAACUAUUAGGGUUUUUCAAAUGUCAAAUGAUGCUGCUACACUAACGUAUACUGUGGUUGUUGCAAAUGACACAAGUGUGGCCUUGUACGUGUUGGUUAGCGCGCCUUCAUUAGUUUUCAGGUCACGAGUUCAAUUUUUCACGGCGACUGUUUUGUGUUUCUUUUUCAUUCUUUUUUCCGAGUAUAUUUUUCUUGCGUGUCAUCGUGCAAUACUACUCAUUAUGAUUUUAUAGCAUGUAUGCUUAAUGUGUUUUAAAAUUUUAGACUUGUUGGAUACUUUUUUUGCAUUUUAUCAUUCUUUUAUUAUCUCUUAUCCAUGAAUUUUAUACAAAGUAUAAUUUUUUUGUAAGUGUCAAUAUGCAUUUAUUUACAAGAUAUACAAGAAAUUUACCUAAAUCCGCCUAGACCUGCCUAGCCGCCCGACUAGCGCCUAACGUUUUUUUAGAAACUUGGAUUAAACAAACACACAUCACCAGAUAAAAUGCUUGGACUCCAAGUUCCACUCUCCUUGUAAGUUCCACUCUCCUUGUAUUUCUCCAUGUUUCACAUUCCAUGGGUUUUUUUUUGGUUGAAGUCUUGAAGAUAAUAAAGACUUGGACAUGCCACUAGAAUGGUUGUUGAUAUUGGCACUGUAAACCUUUCAUCAAGAAAGUGAAAUAUAUGUAAAGAGUACAUAAUGAGAAUUUUGAGUGUCAACAAUAACGCCCUUUUGAGAAUUACGAAAAACUAAUACACUCCCGAACCAACGUCAACAUGUUAAAGAUUUUCCUAAGUGGACGAAAAGGGGUCACCUGGGUACGGAUUGAAUUGAGGAAGUGGUAGUAAAUGGCAAAUUUUUUAUAAUAGCACCCUUUACACACUAUUUUCAUAUUACACUAUGUCCAACAUUUUAUGAAGUGUCCGCAUUAAACGAAUCUCAUCACCGAUGGCCGAUGGCCGAUGCCACCGCCCUCAUCUCCUCUCCUUUCCACCAAGAACAACCUUUCGAGCCUUUAGUUUGCUAAGGAACGUGAGUUCCAUCCAUCCCUGCCAGAUAUACGACUCUAUCCAAACACCACUAAAGUUUUUGCAAAAUCCGAACACUGAUCGAACCCAGUACAAUCAAGUUCUAGCUAAUAAAAAAAGUUUCGGGCAUUGCAUUGAAAGUCCAAUGCGAUGCCCUUGAUCUGAAGAGCAAGUUUUUUUUUUUUGUUUGAAGUCUUAAAACCAUAUCAUAUCUAAGCAGAGUCAAUAGUAGUGUUAAAACAAUUCAACGAUCCACGCCAUUCAUCUCAACAUAAUAUCUAAGCAGCCCAGAGUCAUCAGACCACUGACCCAGAGAUCUUCAAUGCGUCCAGCCUCUCUCUUGUUCCACAGUAGGUCAUGCGAAGAAAUCCGUCUUCAUCCCUGUUUUUCUCAUCAAUCGCAGACAUCAAGGUUCCUGUAACAACAUUGGAGGAAUUACUGAGAGGUAUUAAAUCCACCACUAAUUUGGGCACAAGACGGAUAUUAUCAAGUGGCACAUUAAUUUGGGCACAAGACGGAUAUUAUCAAGUGGCAUAAAACAAAAAUGAGUUGAAGCUCUCCUCACCAUUGGGAUGUUCAGUGUUCUUGAAAUAGACAAACAAAGGAUCUUUAGAUGCAACCUUUGUCUGAAGAUACCCAACAAACUCCUCAAGAGUGACAUCACCGUGGACUUGGUAUCUGCAGUCAAAAAACACAGGAGACACAAUAAAACUACAUGAGAACCCCUUCUUAUAAGACCAACUCUUAUAUAUCUCCCUUCUUUUUUCAUUCGAUUUCGUUAACAUAUGAAAUACCAAGAGCAUGCACGAAAACGGGGGCAAUACAAACCAUGAUAACCAAGGCAAAAAGGAACCGGAAACUAACUUCUUUGCAUCAAGUUCAGGAAGGCCACUGCUUCCAUCCUUCUCCACAAUCACCUGCAGGGAUGCUCGUAUUAGAACAUGGUAUAGCCCCGUCUUAAUAAGCAUAACUGAUGUGCAGUGAAAUUCUCACCGGUACAUGAGACGGAUACCACUGCCUCAUUUUCUUAGCAUCUGAAAUACGCCGUUCCAGCACCUCCAAAGUACCCCUGAACAUUUGUCAAAAACAUUGAUGAUAAAUCAGCAAUCCCAUUCCACUGUAGCAAAUACGAAUCAAGAGAGGAGAACUAAAGCGCAAGGGAGGGACUGGGCAACUAACUUUGUAAAAUCAUUGAAAAUUCCAAGCUUCUCCGCGAUCACGUGCAUAGAGGCUCAAAUUAGAACAGAGUGUAUCCACUGAAAGUGUGGGGCGUAAACUUACUUAAUUCAGCUUAAAUUCUUACCUCAUCAAAUGAGCGUUUUAAAGCAUUCCUACCGUCUAACUCUUUAAUCCUCUGCAAGAAGGCUCAAAUUACAACAGGGAAUAUCCACUGAAUGACUAGGAAGUACAUGUGUCUGAUUCACUGAAAUUCUUACUGGUAUAUCACCGGAUCGAAAGACUACUCCUUCCUUUUUCCAAUCUGCACUGUAGGUCACGCGAAGAAAUCCAUCAUCGUCCUUGUUUUUCUCAUCGAUAGCAGACAUCAAGGCUCCUGUAACAACAUUGGAAGAAUUAGAGUCAUGCAACCGUAGACAAUCUGGGAUCAAGAUGGAUAUUAUCAGGCUGACCUAAAACAAGAAUGAAUUGCAGCACCGCUCACCAGUUUCGGGGACUGUGUUCUUGAAAUAGACAUAGAUAGGCCAUUCUGGUUCAAAGUCAGAAAGAAAUGACCGAAUGCAAUCAGCAAAUUCUGGGAGAGUCAUAUCAGGUUCGAGUAGGAAGCUGCAGUCCAAUGCAGGGGACAGGCAACAGAACCAUGUGAGAAGUGAGAACCCUAAGGCAAGCUAGGGAGGCAUCCUAUUCCAUUGUAGCAAUAUAUAUCAAAGACGACCAAAGCAAAAAGUAAAGGGAAAACGAACUGGGUCACAUUAGUAAUGUCAGGAAUGUCACUGCUUGGAUCCUUCUGCACAAUCACCUGUAAGGAGGAUGAAAUUAGAACCUGGUAUUAUGCCUCCGCUGAAUGCGUGCAUUGGAGGAAGUGAACAGAUAUGAUGGGGUAGAAUUCUUACUGGUGUACAAAGUGGAUGAGCGUCCCUCAAUUUCCAAGCAUCUAAAGUACGCGGUUUGUUUGCCUCCAAAAACCUCCUGUACCUGUAUCAGAAGCGCAUAGAUGAAAAAGGAAGAGACAUCCAAUCCUAUUGCAGCAACGCAAAAUAAAGAUAACUAAAAGCAAAAAGGGGGACAAGAACAAACUCACUCCGCCUCAUUGUAGUGUUGAGGAUACCGACGACAUUUCUCUGCGAAAGAUUCCUCGUCCGCAAGGGCAGCCUUGUCAGAAAUCACAAUUAGUGCAUAUAGGGAGGUCAAGCCAGAGAACGGGCAUUGGUAAAAACAUAUUUGGUUCGGCUAAAUCCUUACCACCGUAGACUUGUAGAUUGAAGAAUUCCAAGGGUCUAAAAACACAAGGGGCCUUGAGCAUGCUGAAAAUAUCAGACAAAGAAACAUCACACGGUUGGAAUUUGCGUUUGCAGGAAAAAAUGAAAAGAAAAGAAAAAUCCGGCCUUGGACAAACAAAGUCCAUGUCGUGGAACCCCUCAAACAUCAUAUACUACAGAGCACCACAGAAGUAUAGAAGAUAAAAAUUCCCACCAGACAGAUAGAUCAUAGAGGCAUAAAAUGUAUAGAAGAUAAAAGAAAUAAAAGCAAAACAAAUACAGCAACAAACCCACCCCUAGGAGGACUAAAUCCUUGCUUCCUGAAGCUUUCUUCGAGGACUUCACGACUUGUCUGCAAAUUUUCAAAAAGCAACACAACACCGAUCAAGAACAAAGUCGCAAAAUUAGGGUUGUGGUAAAUUGAAGAAUUGAUUGGUUUGGUUGAGAAACAAAAACAAUUAAUCAAAAUAUUCAAGGCGAACAAUCAUUUGAAUGUCUAAUCAAUAAUAUCAUCGGUAUAUAAAUUCUCAAAAAGCAACACAACACCGAUCAAGAACAAAGUCGCAAAAUUAGGGUUUUGGUACAUUGAAGAAUUGAUUUAACGGACGCACCUGUAUUGCCUUGCCGUCCCAGCUUCUUUUCUUCAUGUCGAAUUUUGUAUAUCUGCGCGCGUUUCUUCGGUAAAAACCAAGUAAAAAAAAAAAACACCAAUCCUCUCUUUUCCUAUUGGAAUGAGGAUUCUCUUCGAAUCUUUUUUGUGAGGAUCCUGACGUUGGAAUUUUUUUUUAUUGUUAUCGGAACAUAAAUGCAAUACCACUUGUUUUUAUAUAAGUAGUGAAAAAUAGAGGAUUUUUCCGUCAAACUGACAAACAAACCGUGUGAUAUAGCGGAUGUGGUCCAUCAGCCGGUCCAUAGUCUGACAAGUCUCCCGGUGGAUUUCAUGCUUCUGUCCUCAAUAGCCAACCACGAAAAUGACUUUGAAUUUUAGUUGCAGCAGAAAGCUGAUAGAGGAGAACGACAGACAGAAAAAUUCUUCCACGCAAGCUGAAUUUUAACUGCUGCUCUUACUUGAAGAUCACGCUCAACACUUUCUUGGCAGAGAUUGCAAGAUUUAUCCACAAUAGCAACCCCAUGAAUGUAUCUCAACCUUACAAGCCACCCACGAAUAUAUCUUUGGACAACAAUGGCAGCUUUGACUAGAUCAGGAGCAGAUAUAUCAUGAGUUACAAUACUUCCUCCCUCAUAAUUGCUUUUUCAGUAUUUUCUGCCCUUACUUGAAGAUCACGCACAACAUUUUCUUGGCACAGAUUGCAAGAUUUAUCUACAAGAGCAACCCCAUGAAUGUAUCUCAACCUUGCAAGCCACCCACGAAUAUAUCUUUGCACAACCAUAUAAAGGGAUCCCGUGCUAUUCAAAGGACAACCAUUGCAGACGACUGGGAGUAGUGAAGAAGCACCUGCAACAAACCAAUGCCAAUGCCAUUAACAUUUGUAAGUAUAGGUUUCUAUCCAAAAAUAGGGCGUGCAAUAUAUGUAAACAAAAUGGGUAAGAACCAGUUGGGGAAGGUUGUAGUAAUAUACCUAAGAGUCUAUGAGGAAUAGCACUUUUGAUUGUUGUUGUAGCCCGUCUUUGACACGAUAAGCAACUUCUGAUCAACCACCCACGGCAGUAUCUCUGAAAUUUGUAAGCACACUACUGAGACAUGAUACUUACACAGUAUAAAAUAAAAGCGGAGAAAAUAAUAGGCACCCAUCUGGAUUAUUUAGAUCCAACUGAUCUGUGAAACAGAAAAGAACGAUUAAAGGCCAAUUUCUCUUGCAACUCUAGAUCAUGUAAAGAUAAUACCAACAGGUAGCUGCAAAUUUCCCUAAAUAAAGCAGUUUAUUUACAGUAAGAAAUUAAAAGAUGCAGACCAUAAACCAAAUCAAUAAAAUAAAAUCUAAUUAGAACAGUUGUUAACACAAAAAAAAAAAAGCUACAAUUAACAACCCAAAAUAUUUCAUAAACUUUCAUAACGUUUCUUGCCAUGAAAGAAACAAAGAUUCAGAGGACUGGACCUUGUGUACAGCGACAUCGGCCGGCCACGACGAGUCGCAAUCCCUCUUCCGCGUGUGUUGCGUUACAAUGCGAUCUCCAUCCACGGACAAACUGCAGCCGCAGAAGGUAGGGUUUUGGAAGAGGAACUUGAGCCAGACGGAGAGAGAUUUGAGCGAACGCCCUUCCUUGAUUUGGGCCUUGCGAGACCACUGCGAGUGCUCGAGCUUGAAAACGUUGAGUUCCCGGGCCACCGCCUUUGUGCGGCCAUAGUUCGACGGAGCGAGAGACGGCCGGCGGUGAAAUGACGAAGAACUUCCGGGGUAAUGCUUCGAGCUCAAGAAAUCGGGGCAAGUGGAAUAGAAAUCCGAGAUGCGCGAUGGGCGUUUUGGGGUUUCGACCUCGGAAAUGUCUUUCAAGAGAGUGGACAAGUUUCUGUACGGCGACGGAGACGGCGGUGGUUCUUGGCCUUCCAUUGAGGGUUUCGGGAGUUUUUUGGGAAAAACCCGUUUUGGGGUUUUGAACUCGGAAAUGUCUUUCAAGAGAGUGGACGAGUUUCUGUACGGCGACGGAGACGGCUGCGUACACGGCGACGGAGACGGUGGUGGUUCUUGGCCUUCCAUUGAGGGUUUCGGGAGUGUUUUGGGAAAAACAUUUUUUGGGGUUUUGAACUCGGAAAUGUCUUUCAAGAGAGUGGACGGGUUUCUGUACGGCGACGGAGACGGCGGCGUACACGGCGACGGACACAGCGGUGGUUCUUGGCCUUGUUUCGCGCGUUUUUUUGGGCAAGGAAAAGCGAAAAUGGGGUCUUGAAUUUUCACUGGACUUGACAUUUUUUUACUUUUUUUUUAAUUUGACAACGGUUUGACGUGAAUUUAAUAAGCAGGACAAGCGGGGGAAAGGCUAUCAACUUUUAAGCGAUGCUCGACAUAGUGGACCAAAAGCAACAUUAACACCUAAAUUUCAAAGCCCAAAAGUAGCAUAAUAUGGGUCUUCAGCCACAACAUGCGAGUCCAAUACUAAUUUUUUGCAUAUAUAAAUUUUACAAAAGUGAUAGUGAUUUCAUUAACUAGCAAAAACAAAUACAAAGCUUACCAUAUGAAUAUAUUUUUCAGUGACCAAUUCAUUGGUAUGGAAAUAAUUUGCCAUAUUUGGCUACCACAAGCACUAUCAAUACUAGCACAAGCACACAUGGUUACAUUCGCUACAAAUGCGGCAGACGCAACGAUCCUAAACAAGCCACAUGUAAUGUCACCACCAACAAGCGAGACCACAUCAAACCCUCGCUGACAAGCAAUACCACAUCACUCGCUAGACGCGGUACAAACAAAACUUAUACUAAUCCGAUAAUUAAAUCCUCCCGUCCCUGAAUUUCACUAUUUUAAAUUCAUUAUUUCGUAUGUGGCUACGACGCAUUUAUACUUACAGCGUAUAAAUUUUUUCGAUAAGCAAAAAGACAAAAAUGCCCCCUAUUGUACUAAACGGAAUUCUUUAUGGACACACUUGAUCCUUUCAUAUUUUCCACAUUUCUUGGCAUGUUUGGGUAGUACUCGUCGAUAUGAACGCAUGGGUGCAAGCGGAACGUAAUUCGGAGCUAUAACGAAGAUUCUACGAAGCUUUGAAGUCAAGGGCAUUUUAGUAAUUUUACGAUUAUUUGGCACAUGAUCUUUUUGGCCGUUGGAUAUUGACGCGUGGGGAGCCUUCCCCACAUUUCUGGAACCUUCUCUCUCCUAUCUCUAAUCACCCCCGUGCAUCUCUCUUCUCUCGUCACUCUCUUCUCCCCCGUGAAAACCAAACCAACAUAAAUCAUUUUUCCGGCGAAUUGGACCCUUCAAACUUCAUCAUCAUGUUCUUCUUGAACCUAAAAAGGUGAAACCGUCAUUGGUUUCGUGAAAAUUCAAGCAGAGAUACGAGUUCGUGGACUUUGGUUUGAGCCGUACUUUCCGCGUCGAUUUCAGACAUCUUCCAGUCAUCUUUUGAACUCCAAAUAGGUGUAAAUCGAUUCCUCAUGUUCUGUAGAUGAAUUUUCAUUUUUGGAUCAUUGAUUUUGGUUAAUAAAUGACAAAGUUAUAAUGAUUUAAUGUUUACUCAAUAGUCCGGCUAGUUACCCAAUAUUCUCGCGGACCUGUUGCAUUUUCGGCCAUUUUACGGCCGCCUUCGGCCACCAUUUGACUUUCACCUGGUAAAUUAUGGUUCCUCCCAUCUCUAGCCUUGCUUUGAUAUAUUAUGCGUCAUAUUUGGUCGGGGAAUGAAGAAGUUUUGGAGCUUUAAAGUUUAUCCAAAUUUCCCAGGAAAAUCGAGUUGACCCGACCCGUGACCGUAUCCGACCCAUAUGGAAUAUUCUGUGGAUUACUUUUGGAGAAUAAUAUUCCCCAAGUUGACUUUUUUCAAAAAAAAUUCGGGAACCUUCUUAGGGUAUUUUAACGUGCUAAAUCCAUUUUUGACAUCCGUUUGGUGAAAUUCAAACAUUUUAACGUAGUUUCGUAAUUGAUCUCCACUUGAAUUUGUGAUUGGCGUAGAUCCGACCGUCGGAUUGUAACGGAAUUUUAAUAUGCUACUCCGUAUGGAUCCGUUGAGUGGUUUGGAAUCCAUCGUACUUUGCAAUUCCGUUGAGAGGUUUAUAAUCAUAUCCUGCUUUGGAUUUCGUUAAGUGGUAUAGGAUCGUAUCCCACUCGGAUUCUGUUGAAUGGUCCAGAGAACUUGGAGUGCUUAGGUUGCCCCUAUGCCUUUCCGUGUACCUUUCCUCACAUUUCUUUUGGAGUUUCAUUUUGGGAGCCUACGAGCGUGUACUGUUGUUGUACAAUUGUUGUAAAUGCUUUGGCGCAAAGGAAAUUUUGUUCUUUUGUUGGUCACGGGUUUGAGUCGUCGAACCCGGUAAAGUCAAAUUCCAGCCAGCUGGAAUUAGCGUAGUUAGUAUUAUAGGCUGCUGCAGGCAUACACACAUACGAAUAAUGUCAGUUAUCAACUAUCAAGUUACAUUCACCCCAAAACCAUACUAUAUAUAGAGACCAUCCGCCACUGAACCUGUCAUAUCCUCCUAGUGACGCCAGUUCUGGAUCAUGUCGAAUUCAAAUGAAAUUUCAUCUUCGUCUGGAUAACCAGGGAAUUUGCAGAACAGUGGCGAAUCCACACAUAACUCCUCCAUGGGGGAUGAAAGAGCGCAUCGAAUAGCCAGCAGUCCUCCCAAAACAAUACAUCCGAAAAACAGAAUAUUAUUAAAUACACUCAAACUUACUUUCAACUUCUAUCUUCUUUUCUCCGAAUGGCACCAGAUAACUAAAACAUUUUGGUCAUUGCGCUAAAAGUUCACUGCAAUCCCUUGAUCUCAAGGUUAAGUUUUCUUCAAGUCUAAAAACCAUAUCAUAUCUAAGCAGAGUCUAGUGAUAAAACAUUUCAACGAUCCACGCCAUUCAUCUCAACAUAAUAUCUAAGCAGGCCAGAGUCGUCAGACCACUGACUCAGAGAUCUUCAAUGCGUCCAGCCUCUCUCUUGUUCCACAGUAGGUCAUGCGAAGAAACCCGUCUUCAUCCCUGUUUUCCUCAUCAAUUGCAGACAUCAAGGUUCCUGUAACAACAUUGGAGGAAUUACUGAGAGGUAUUAAAUCCACCGCUAAUUUGGGCACAAGAUGGAUAUUAUCAAGUGGCAUAAAACAAAAAUGAGUUGAAGCUCUACUCACCAUUGGGAUGUUCAGUGUUCUUGAAAUACACAAACAAAGGAUCUUUACAUGCAACCUUUGUCUGAAGAUACCCAACAAACUCCUCAAGAGUGACAUCACCGUGGACUUGGUAUCUGCAGUCAAAAAACACAAGAGAAGCGAUAAAACUACAUGAGAACCCCUUCUUAUAAGACCAACUCCUAUAUAUCUCCCUUCUUUUUUCAUUCGAUUUCGUUAACAUAUGAAAUACCAAGAGCAUGCACGAAAAAGGGGGCAAUACAAAUCAUGAUACCCAAGGCAAAACGGAACCGGAAACUAACUUCUUUGCAUCAAGUUCAGGAAGGCCACUGCUUCCAUCCUUCUCCACAAUCACCUGCAGGGACGCUCGUAUUAGAACAUGGUAUAUGCCCCGUCUUAAUAAGCAUAACUGAUGUGCAGUGAAAUUCUCACCAGUUCAUGAGACGGAUACCACUGCCUCAUUUUCUUAGCAUCUGAAAUACGCCGUUCCAGCACCUCCAAAGUACCCCUGAACAUUUGUCAAAAACAUUGAUGAUAAAUCAGCAAUCCCAUUCCACUGUAGCAAAUACCAAUCAAGAGAGGAGAACUAAAGCGCAAGGGAGGGACUGGGCAACUAACUUUGUAAAAUCAUUGAAAAUUCCAAGCUUCUCCGCGAUCACGUGCAUAGAGGCUCAAAUUAGAACAGAGUGUAUCCACUGAAAGUGUGGGGCGUAAACUUACUUAAUUCAGCUUAAAUUCUUACCUCAUCAAAUGAGCGUUUUAAAGCAUUCCUACCGUCUAACUCUUUAAUCCUCUGCAAGAAGGCUCAAAUUACAACAGGGAAUAUCCACUGAAUGACUAGGAAGUACAUGUGUCUGAUUCACUGAAAUUCUUACUGGUAUAUCACCGGAUCGAAAGACUACUCCUUCCUUUUUCCAAUCUGCACUGUAGGUCACGCGAAGAAAUCCAUCAUCGUCCUUGUUUUUCUCAUCGAUAGCAGACAUCAAGGCUCCUGUAACAACAUUGGAAGAAUUAGAGUCAUGGCAACCGUAGACAAUCUGGGAUCAAGAUGGAUAUUAUCAGGCUGACCUAAAACAAGAAUGAAUUGCAGCACUGCUCACCAGUUUUGGGGACUGUGUUCUUGAAAUAGACAUAGAUAGGCCAUUCUGGUUCAAAGUCGGAAAGAAAUGACCGAAUGCAAUCAGCAAAUUCUGGGAGAGUCAUAUCAGGUUCGAGUAGGAAGCUGCAGUCCAAUGCAGGGGACAGGCAACAGAACCAUGUGAGAAGUGAGAACCCUAAGGCAAGCUAGGGAGGCAUCCUAUUCCAUUGUAGCAAUAUAUAUCAAAGACGACCAAAGCAAAAAGUAAAGGGAAAACGAACUGGGUCACAUUAGUAAUGUCAGGAAUGUCGCUGCUUGGAUCCUUCUGCACAAUCACCUGUAAGGAGGAUGAAAUUAGAACCUGGUAUUACGCCUCCGCUGAAUGCGUGCAUUGGAGGAAGUGAACAGAUAUGAUGGGGUAGAAUUCUUACUGGUGUACAAAGUGGAUGAGCGUCCCUCAAUUUCCAAGCAUCUAAUGUACGCGGUUUGUUUGCCUCCAAAAUCCUCCUGUACCUGUAUCAGAAGCGCAUAGAUGAAAAAGGAAGAGUCAUCCAAUCCCAUUGCAGCAACGCAAAAUAAAGAUAACUAAAAGCAAAAAGGGGUACAAGAACAAACUCACUUCGCCUCAUUGUAGUGUUGAGGAUACCGACGACAUUUCUCCGCGAAAGAUUUCUCGUCCGCAAGGGCAGCCUUGUCAGAAAUCACAAUUAGUGCAUAUAGGGAGGACGAGCAUUGCGUAAAAACAUAUUUGGUUCGGCUAAAUCCUUACCACCGUUGACUUGUAGAUUGAAGAAUUCCAUGGGUCUAAAACCACAAGGGGCCUUGAGCAUGCUGAAAAUAUCGGACAAAGAAACAUCACAAUGUUGGAAUUCGUGUUUGCAGGAAGAAAAAAAAAAAACAGAAAAAACAAAGUCCAUGUCUUGGAACCCCUCACACAUCAUAUACUACAGAGCACCACAGAAGUUUGGUACAAUCCAAUUUAGCGGAAAAAAGAGAGUUGGAUACAAAAAUAAGAAUUCCCACCAGACAGACAGAUCGUAGAGGCAUAAAAUGUAUAGAAGAAAAAAGAAAUAAAAGCAAAACAAAUACAGCAACAAACCCACCCCUAGGAGGACUAAAUCCUUGCUUCCUGAAGCUUUCUUCGAGGACUUCACGACUUGUCUGCAAAUUUUCAAAAAGCAACACAACACCGAUCAAGAACAAAGUCGCAAAAUUAGGGUUGUGGUAAAUUGAAGAAUUGAUCGGUUUGGUUGAGAAACAAUAACAACCAAUCGAAAUAUUCAAGGCAAACAAUCAUUUGAAUGUCUAAUCAAUUAUAUCAUCGGUAUAUAAAUUCUCAAAAAGAACACAACACCGAUCAAGAACAAAGUCGCAAAAUUAGGGUUUUGGUAAAUUGAAGAAUUGAUUUAACGGACGCACCUGUAUUGCCUUGCCGUCUUUUCUUCUUUUCUUCAUGUCGAAUUUUGUAUAUCUGCGCGCGUUUCUCCGGUAAAAACCAAGUAAAAAAAAAAAACACCAAUCCUCUCUUUUCCUAUUGGAAUGAGGAUUCUCUCCGAAUCUUCUUGGUGAGGAUCCUAACGUUGGAAUUAUUUUUUAUUGUUAUCAGAACAUGAAAGUAAUACCACUUGUUUUUAUAUAAGUAGUGAAAAAGUGAGCAUUCUCACAGAGAGAAUUCGAAGAAGAUCCUUAUUUUUGGCAUUGACCCAACGACGUUGUUGGGCCGACGUGUCAUAGUAAUUUUAUAGUAUUGGGCUCGCAUGUUGUUGGGCUCAAGGCCCACUAGGCCCACUUUCGGGUUUUGAAAUAUAAAAGAAGACGUUAGGGUUGUUUAGGUCAUUAAGCGUCGUCUAUCGCCAUUCCCCGCUCUGUCUUCUGGGCAUUUCAAAUUCAAACCAAGUCAAAAUUCAAACCCCUCUUCGCGUUUCUCAGCCACAGACUGAGCCAGCGAAGCCCCCAAUGGAAGGCCGAGAGCCACCGCCGUCUCCGUCGCCGUCGCCUUACAGAAACCCCUCCACUCUCUUCAAAGACAUCACCAAUUUCAAAACCCCUAAACCCUCAUCGCCGUCGCCUUACAGAAACCCCUCCACUCUCUUCAAAGACAUCACCAAUUUGCAAGGUUGAGAUACAUUCAUGGGGUUGCUCUUGUAGAUAAAUCUUGCAAUCUGUGCCAAGAAAAUGUUGUGCGUGAUCUUCAAGUAAGGGCAGAAAAUACUGAAAAAAGCAAUUAUGAGGGAGGAACUAUUGUAACUCAUGAUAUAUCUGCUCCUGACCUAGUCAAAGCUGCCAUUGUUAUCCAAAGAUAUAUUCAUGGGCUUGAUCUUGUAGAUAAAUCUUCCAAUCUCUGCCAAGAAAGUGUUGCGCGUGACCUUCAAGUAAGGGCAGCAGUUAAAAUCCAGCUUGCGUGGAAGAAUUUUUCUGUCUGUCAUUCUCUUCUCUAUCAGCUUUCCGCUGCAACUAAAAUUCAAAGUCAUUUUCGUGGUUGGCUAGUGAGGAGGAGGUCUCACAUUAAAGGGCAAGCAAUAAUAAAAAUCCAAAGUGUUUAUCGAAUGUCAAGAUGCUGGAAGGCUUAUCAGCAGUACAAAAUUGCAGCUGGUUCAGCCACCGUCAUUCAAUCUUAUAUACGUGGAUGUUUUGCCCGGAAAGGCGCUGAAAAUCAUAGGCUUCUCAUUGUUGCAAUCCAAGUAAGUAUUUCUCCAUGUCUUCUGAGCAUAUAGGGCAGCAGAAACCUUGUCAUAUUAAAGCAAUCUUUUGUAUGCAACUUCAUUCUAUUGUAGUGGUAUUUAUACUGUCUAGAUGAGUGACUAUAAUUUUCUCCCCUUUUCUAUUGUGCAAGUAUCAUGUCUCAGUAAUGUGCUUAAAUGAUUUCAGAGAUACUUCCGUGGUUGGUUGAUCAGAAGUCAAUUCUCGUGUCAAAGACAGGCUGCAAUAAAGAUCCAAAGCUCUAUUCGAGGCUUGAUAUGGCGUCAAUCAUUUCAUCGUCAUAGACAAGCUGCAGUGGAAAUUCAACGGAUAGUCAGGGGGCAGAUUAGUCGAAAUAGGCUCUUAGGUAUAUUACUACAACCUUUCCCGACUGCUUCCUACACAUUUUAUUUAUUUGUGUUGCAUGUUCUAGCUUUGAAUAUAAACUUAUAGUUACAAAUGUUUAUGGCUUUGGUUUGUUGCAGGUGCUGCUUCACUAUGCCCAAUCGUCCGCAAUGGUUGUCCUUUGAAUAGCACAGGAGCCCUUUAUAUGGGUGCUGAACUAAAUAAAGUUUAGUUUGGGUUCUGACUUUUGGGGGAGAAAAGGGAAUCGAGAAGAUUCGAACCCGAGUGGAGAGGGUCACAGAAGUGCUUGAUUUUUACCGAUGACAUAGUUCUUUGUUCUACAUGUGAUUUUAUGGCUAUUUUAUUUCAUGAAGCAAAAUUUGCACCAUAACCAAAUGCGAUAUGAGGAACAAAGAACAUUCGCGAAGUGAAAUCCAACAGUGGUCGAGAGGUUCAUCAAUUGCUUGGUUACCAUGUUGUUUGUUUCGCGGAGAUGUGUUUUACAGAUUGCUGGUGUUCUCAAUCACGUCUAGGUUUUCUUUCUCACCUGCUUCUGUUUUCUUCUUAUAUUCUUGGACUACAACACUCUCGAAACGAUCGACAGAAGUGGGAGGAAGAACGCAGACAAUGCUGGGACACAUACGCUGAAAGGCUUACCGGGUUUUUGACGCGACACUCAAAGAGGAAGCUUUCAUGGAAGCUGGGGUAUCGAGGGAGAUGAAACCAGAAUAUAUACCAGUGACUGUGGGGAAAGAUGACAUUCCUGACAUAUGCAUGAAUAUAUAUCGUGUCUCUGGUAUUAUGCAUAUGUCAGAAAUGUCCUCUUUCUCCGGUCAUGACAGCCAUGACAAAGCCUAGUUAUAUAAGGACGAGCAAUAUUGGAUAGGGAAGAUUUGUCCUCAGUUGUAUACGACCUACGACCUUCGCAAGGAGUCAAGGUUCGACGAGUUCGAUUUCAACAUUUUGCUUUGAAAGCUUGAAUACAUCCCACCUGCUAUGACCGGUGUUAGCUUUGUAUAGAAAACCCCAAAACAAACCACAACCCCACCACCCUCCCUGCAAAUACCAACUCAAACAAGGAGACCAAACCCACAAAUUGUCGCCCAACAACAAAAUCUAAACCAACAAAUUUGGGUUUGACCCAAAUGUUGGGGGGCCCGCCCUUUUUUUUAAGGAAGUUUUAACGAAAAGCUCGUGGUGCUGUUCAUUUUAACGAAAAAUUACAUUUUUACACUAAAAAGUCAAUCAUGAUACUAUUCACUUUACCUUUUAUUUUGUCAUUAUCGUUAAAACUCAAAGUUUUCAAGCUAUUUUCAUUAGUUUUUUUUUUUAAGGGCACGGGACUUUGGAUGUAAUGGUCGAUAGUUGGCUUCGUGUGUUAGGGGGGGCUGUAUGUCCAACGGUAAUCUGGAUUAACUACGCGCCAUUCGAUUUUUGGAUCAUUGGUUAUCAACAAAUCCAUAUUACAAUCUUUUUUUCAGCAAUCUUUUAAAUUUGAUCUAAUGGUCCGUUUCAAAUCCAACGGUCAAACUAGUAGAAUAAACUUUUUUAGACAGGCCCAUUGUAAUAUUAUUUUCAUCGCCAAACUAUGUCUCGAAUAUAAACUACAUCUCAAUGUCGUUGAAAUAACAAAGUGUAUCACUCUAGAUACGAGGAUGAUGGGUUUUAUGAUUUUGUUAAAUUCCCCUUGUACAGAGGAAAGGGAGGAAGGAAAAUUUAUUGUUGUUUGGUGAUUGUUUAGGUAGUUUUCACUGGUAGAUAUUGAAGUUUGGCUGGUGUAUGUAUUGAAGUUUGCUUGGUUGUUUGUGUAUUGAAGUUUGGUUGGUGCGUGUAUUAAAGUUUGGUUGUUGGUUUGUUUAUUAAAGUUUGGUUGAUGUGUGUAUUGAAGUUUGGUUAGUGUGAUUUGUUCGGUUUUCUAAAUUAUCGGAAUUUAAAUUUAUUUGGGUUAAAACAUUCAUAAAAUAAAAUUAAGAUAACCUAAAGUUAAAAAAAAAAUCUUAGCAAAAGAAAUAAAUUAAGAUAACCUCAUGUUUCUCUUUGUCUUAAGCCCAUUGUCUUUUUUUAUUGACUACAACCUGAUAACUAUGUGUCUUUUUUCUUCGCUACAACUUGAUAAUAUAAUUCACUAGGAAAAUUACCUAAUAAUGUUUGUACGUAAUAUUUCACACGUUUUGUGUUUCCAAAAUUACCUUCAUAUCAAUUUUAUUUGUUGGCUUCCUAAGAUCAAAUCACCAUGAAAAGGAUCAUCUACUUGACAUGAACUCACCAAACCCACCUCUCCACAUUAGUAGUCAAAUGGAACUUGAAUCCAUGACUGGUCCAAGAAUAAAUUUAUAUCGAGUUCGACAUUCACAAUAUUCGAACUUAAAACCCUAAACCAUAAGAGCAUCUCCAAUAUCACCACCUUCAGAACACAUUAAGGAGCUCCACCAACCCUAAACCAUAAGAUUUCAACUUUUUGCAUCUGUUGGAUUGAUUUUCUUAUCUUAAUUUCAUCCGUCGGAUUGUUAUCUUUUUUUUUUUUUUUACUUUUUAUAUUUUCACUAUAAAAGUAAGAUCUCUAUAUCUUUCACAUCCAUCAUUUUCCUUUUUAUAAAAGUAAGGUCUCUAUAGCUCAUCUUCCGUUGACAAUAGCUUGAUGGUUAGGACGGCUGUUUGCGAGGAGAAAAUCGUAGGCAAAUUGGAUAUCUUUUUUGGAAUGGGGAGUUUUGGGGAUUUGGGGAUUUGGGUAAGUAAUACUUUAAUUGACUAUUUGGAUCCACAUCUAUUUCUUCAAUAUAUUUUAGUUAAAUAUAUGUGGUUUUUGCUUGCUUUUUAUACAUGAAUUUUCUUUAGAACUUAUCACGCCACCUGUGACUAAAUGCGAGUCCAGGUAUUCCAUACCCCCGUUCACGUCUACUGCAGCCGCACUUAUUUCCUGCAGGUUCAUACCACAGUUGACCUUGAACACGACCUUGUCCGUCACUCUGCAUCCUCCCAAACCUGCACGGACCUCAUUUACAAUGUGUCACUGUCAAUGUCAACGUUGCUCUAGUACUGUCAUAACCUCAUCAUGAGCAAUUCCCUUUCUUGAGCAUUGGGCUUAUCUCGCCUGCACAGCGGAACCCUCCGGUAGGGGCGGCGAGCUUUAAUUUUUUGUUUGAACGUGCCUGCACGUCUACCUCCACCCCCAGCCCCACCGCCUCAUUUGUUUGGACAAAGGCGUCCUAUGCCUUUUCCCGCCCCAAGAAGACCUCCAUCAUCAUCAGCUCGGGCUCCACCACCCAAGCCGCCUUUGUGGGAGGCCGCACAUAACGUUUGGUAGGAAUAUUGUUUGCAAAACCAAUCAAUCAAGAAUCAUGAACAAACCAUGGAAAACUAGUCCAAUCAAAUCCAUACUGUAAAUGCAUGAUCAGAUACAAAGAUAUGUACCAAUCAAAUCCAUAUUGUAAAUAAAUGAUUUGCAAAUCUACGGAACACAAUCGAUAAUGUCAUCGAUAUAUAUAAAUUUUAUCAUCGGAUUUAACAGACGCACCUGUAUUGCCUUGCCUUCCCUUCUUCUUUUCUUCAUGUCGAAUUUUGUAUAUCUGCGCAAGUUUCUUCUGUAAAAACCAAGUAAAAAAAAAAACACCAAUCUGUUGUAAACAUUCCUAGUUUAAGUAUGAUUGUGUAAAUCCUAGAUAAGAUUUGAUUCUAGUUAUCCUUUCCUAUUACAACUUGUAUUACUUAGAGGAGAAGAAAUAUCUUCUCUCCCUUUACUACUAUAAAUAAAGGCACAAUGUAGGAGGGAUAACAACACACACAUUCCCCUACAAUUCUACAAACACACAUCUCUCUCCUCUCUCUCUCUGCCGCCGGCCCUAGUCCCUCUGUCAGAUAAAAUAGACCACAACACGUUAUCAGCACGCUCCUACCGCUGCGCUUAGGAAUCUGACGUUGGAGAUUUUUUUUCUGCAUCAAACCAGUUCAUCCAUAUCAUCACGAAAUCAGGUUCUUUCCAAACAACGGCUUUAACUCGAUAUUUUGCAAGCCCUGAUAGCAUGAACAUUCACCAUGAUGCAUGACCCAACUUUACGUUUUACGUAUUUUAGAUUCUACAUAAAUUGUGUAUGCUUCAUAAUCAAAAUUGCUACAAUUAUGUGAAUUUGAUAUUUGUCAUGAAUUGAAUCCUACAUAUGUACAUGCAUUGAAACUAUUAUUUGCAUAUGCAUCAACGUAAAUAUGUGAUUCAUUGAAUUUUACAUGCAUAUAUUUAUAUUUGAAUUGAAAAUUUUUGCGGUUGGGGAAAUUAGGGUUCUAGUCGAACCCGUGCCUGUGCACCAUGCAAGGCCGCAAGCCACCAGGCCCGCAGCCUGCGAUGGCCCAACCCAAACCGAGAACCCACACCCGCAAGCAUGGAACCACACGGUGCGUUUGAAGCACCUUGUCCCGACCUACGGCCUGAAGCCCAGGUCCUUGCCGUCGAGUCUUCCGACGCAACACGACCGGCAGUCAUGCAAAUUGGACACAACCCAUCGUUUUCAAUAACGAUUCCGUGCAAUUCCAGAAGAAUUCCAUGGGUUUUUUUCAUUUGAAUUCAGUUGAAUUUUUUGGUUCUAUUUGCCCCGACGUCGAGAUUUCAUCUCCGUCGAUGAGUACUUGGUUCUCCGACGACCCAUGGUUUGCACAGACCAUGGACUGUCUCCUGCAUUGGCGCCGUCAAUCAAAGAACGGCCUUCUUCCCCGAUUGACACACCCAGCUACGGCUGGGAUGUUUUGGUCCUGCAACCCGAGCCCUAGUGGGCUUCAGCCUCUCGGCCCGUGCGAAAAAAAGAUUUUUUUGUUCUUGGGCCAGCCUAAUGCUGCCCGCGUGAAAGAAAAAAAUGAUGAUUUAGGGCUGCACACAGCAGCCCAUUCCCUUCUCACCCCGUGGGCCUGCAGCCUACACCCGGGGGUCCUCGGCCUAUAUUUUUCGGCCCCGAGAUUUUAUUAUUUAAUUUUUUUUUAAAUAAUAUGGGUUUUUAUAUUUUCACCCACACUUUAAUUUGGCCCCGAAGACCAAAAAUAAAUUAAUUCACUUAUCAUUAUACAAUAUUUCUGCAUAUAUUCUUUGCAUAUUUGUUUGCAUAUAUAUUUGUGUUUGCCUGCAGGAAUAUAUGAACCUGAAGUUCAUAAUUACCUUGAAACCCGAAGUUUCUUAUACACAUGCCUUGUUAGAAAACCCGAAGUUUUCACUUAAAUAUAUCACCCAUGAAAACCUGAAGUUUUUCAUGCAAAAUUAAACCAAUACAUGUCUAUUAGAACCUGUAUGUUAUACUCCUAUGUGAAUGGAUUGAUUUUUCUCCAUUACACUAACCACAUAUUGUCCAUCUAUUUUGUGAUAGGAACAUGUCGAACUUGAACAAACUCGACUUCACCGCUUUGGAGGUUUCUAGAAGGAACUACCUCAAGUGGGUUCAAGAUGUGAAGCUCCACCUCACUGCAAAGAAUUUGUGUCCUGCUAUUGAAGAAGCAACAGAUAAACCUGUUGGCGAGGCUGAAAAAGCCACUGCUAUGAUCUUCAUCCGAAGACAUAUCCAUGACGCUCUACAAACUGAGUACCUUGCUGAGGAGGAUCCACGUGCAUUAUGGGUCGCUUUGGCUGAUCGUUUCGAUCACCAAAAGGACAUAUUCUUGCCUGAAGCAAGACACGACUGGCAGCACUUGCGCUUCCAAGACUUUAAGUCUGUGAAUGAAUAUAAUUCUGAAGUUUGUCGAAUCCGAUCAUUUCUCAAGUUUUGCAAUGAAACUUUGACUGAAGAGGAUCUCCUGGAGAAGACCUACUCGACCUUCUCUGCUUCUAAUAUUGUCCUGCAGCAACAAUAUAGAGCUCAGAAGUUCACUAAGUUCUCGGAUUUGAUCUCUGUUUUACUUCUUGCUGAAAAGCAGAACCAGCUGUUGAUGAAGAAUCAUCAAGCUCGACCUACUGGGGCUACUGUUGUGCCUGAAGCACAUUAUAGCACUAAUCAGCACCCAAAACGCCAAAAGAUGCGUGGUAAGGGCGGCCAGAAGCCAUCCCACCAAGGUCAACAGAGCCAAGGCCCAUCCAAGGGAGGAAACAAAUCCCAGAAGCGCCCAAACCUCGCUCCCAAGGCCCCGAACUUCAAGAAUAAGGGCAAAGCACAUGCCACAAUGAAUGACGAUAUGUGCUAUCGUUGUGGUUCCAAGGACCAUUGGUCCCGUAUUUGCCGUGCUCCCAAGAAGGUUGUGGAUGCAUAUCAUUCUCGUCGUACGAAGUUUGAAUCAAACUUCCUGCAAGUGGACGAACCGGAGACUACAAAGAUGGAGGUUUCUGAUUUUCAGGAGGAUACCACUCCUAUGGAAGAUUAGAAUCUUAGACAUAGACUUAUUUUUCAGUUAAAAUAAGACAAUUGGGGCCGAAUUCCACCUAGUGGCCGAACCCCCACCUUGUUUUUUGGUUGAUUUUGAACAAUUUUCCUUUAUGUUUUGGAUUAUUAGUUGGCGAUUUAUUUUGGAUAUUAAGUUUUUUCCUUGAAUAAAUGAAAUUAUUUUGAAUUGAUACUUGUUUUUUAUAAACUUUUAUGCAUGUGACCGAUUCAAAUUAAUUUUUCAUUCUAGGUAUGACUAGUGGGAAAGUUUAGUUGUCUGGCAGAUAGUGCAACCACGCAUACUGUUUUGCGUGAACGCAUCUAUUUCACUAACUUCGUACCUAAGAAUGCACCUCUGACAACCCUCUCAGGCCCAUCCAACCUGAUCGAAGGAUACGGUAAGGCACGUAUAAUGUUGUCCAAUGGUACAAUCUUGACCAUUGCUGAGGCACUCUAUUCUCCACGUUCCGGAAGAACGUUACUAAGUUUCAAGGACAUUAGAGAUAACAAUUACCACGCUGAAACCCACGUAGAAAACGGAGUUGAAUUUCUGUGCGUAACUUCCUACGAAUAUGGCCAGAAGCGUAUUCUAGAGAAGAUGGAGCGUAACCCGAGUGGUCUGUAUACUACGACCAUACGCCCCAUAGAAUGCCACUAUGUGGCCGGCCCUACCACAGGGACCGCGCACGAAAUUACACUUUGGCAUGAUCGUUUGGGACAUCCUGGACAAAUAGCGAUGCGCCGUAUCCUCAAAACUUCACACGGGCAUCCACUAACCCGAAGCUUAGGUUCGAUCCAUGAAAUUGCAUGUCAAACAUGUUCUAUGGGAAAGCUUAUUACUAAGCCUUCUUAUGACAAGAUUCGUUCGAAUCCUCCCAUUUUUCUACAACGGAUUCAGGGGGACAUUUGUGGACCGAUUCAACCUCCCUGCGGACCAUUUAGAUAUUUUAUGGUUUUGGUUGACGCUUCUACAUGUUGGUCACACGUGUGCUUGUUGUCCACAAGGAACGUUGCAUUCUCCAAACUGUUGGCUCAGGUUAUCAAGCUCAGGGCUCACCACCCUGAUUAUCCGAUCAAAUCUAUUCGAUUGGAUAAUGCUGGAGAAUUCACAUCUAAAACUUUUGAUGACUAUUGCAUGUCGGUUGGGGUUGAAGUUGAACAUCCUGUACCCCAUGUUCACACCCAUAACGGCCUGGCAUAGGCUUUCAUUAAGCGUUUACAAAUGAUUGCUCGAUCGUUGGUCAUACGUACCAAGCUCCCGAUCGCUGCUUGGGGCCAUGCAAUAUUGCACGCAGCAAAGUUGGUCCGCCUGAGGCCUGUUGCGACACAACCAUUUAGUGCCCUUCAGUUGGUCACCGGAUGCGAACCCGACAUAUCGCAUCUGCGCGUUUUUGGUUGUGCGGUCUAUGUGCCGAUCUCGCCGCCCUUACGUACAAAAAUGGGGCCUCAGCGAAGGAUGGGAAUCUAUGUCGGAUAUGAUUCUCAUUCGAUUAUUCGUUACUUAGAACCUUUGACAGGCGAUCUGUUUACCGCUCGUUUCACGGAUUGUCACUUCUAUGAGACAGUCUUCCCGUCGUUAGGGGGAGAUAAGAACGUCAACGUUCCUAAUGAACGACACGAUUAUCGUGGACGACUUCCACUUUGUCUCAUUUAGAUCCCCGCACCGCUCAGUCUGAAGCUGAAGUGCAGCGCAUAUUAGAUCUCCAGAGCAUAGCUCAGAGCAUGCCAGAUGCUUUCACCGAUCUAGCGCGCGUGACAAGAUCACAUAUUCCAGCUGCGAAUACGCCUGCAAAGAUGGAUGUACCAAAUGUACGACAGACUACCCUCCUGGAAGCCCGGGACGCCAAUUCUGGUGAUCCACGUACAUUAGCGGCUAACCAAUCAUCUGCCCCUACACAAAAGCGUGGCAGACCCCUUGGUUCAAAGGAUUCACACCCCCGGAAGAGGAAAACCACGACACAAGGUCCUGAAGAGCCUACCGUGAAUCCGACUAUCGCUUACUCAUUUUACCCAACUCAUGAGGAAAUUCUAGAUUAUGGAAGCGUCAUUGAAGAGACGAAUCCUCCUCCCGAGAAUCGUGAGAUUUCGGUCUAUUAUGCUAGCUUAGAUGAUGUGUGGCGUAGAAAUGAGAUGAUUGUCGACGAUGCAUUAGUAUUUGCAGUAGCUACUGAGAUCAUGUUGAGCGAUGACAUUGAACCGCGUUCCGUUGAUGAAUGUCGACGUAGAGCUGAUUGGUCAAACUGGAAACAAGCAAUCCAAGUCGAACUUGAUUCACUUGCGAAACGUAAGGUGUUUGGACCUGUAGUUCCUACUCCUCCACAUGUGAAGCCCGUUGGCUACAAGUGGGUUUUCGUUCGGAAGCGUAAUGAGAAGAACGAAAUUGUGCGUUACAAAGCUCGUCUUGUAGCAUAAGGUUUCUCACAACGCCCCGGGAUUGACUAUGACGAAACUUACUCACCCGUUAUGGAUGUGAUUACUUUUCGAUACCUUAUCAGUUUGGUAGUUUCCGAAAAACUGGAUAUGCAGCUGAUGGACGUAGUAACCGCGUAUCUAUAUGGGGAUCUUGAUACGGAAAUUUAUUUGAAAGUUCCCGAAGGACUUACAUUGACUGGUUCAAAUAUUUCCAAACCCCGGAACACGCUCUCAAUUCGGCUGAGGCGUUCACUAUACGGUUUGAAACAAUCCGGAAGAAUGUGGUAUAACCGUUUAAGUGAGUAUUUGACUAGUCAGGGAUAUGUGAAUAACGAACUAUGCCCUUGUGUGUUCAUUAAGAAGUCACAUUCCGGAUUUGCGAUUGUUGCAGUAUAUGUCGAUGACAUGAAUCUCAUCGGAACUCCUGAAGAGCUCGCGAGAACUGCUUCGCACCUGAAGUCGGAAUUUGAGAUGAAAGAUCUAGGUAAGACUCGAUACUGUCUCGGCCUCGAGAUAGAGCAUUGUUCGGAUGGAAUCCUAGUACAUCAAUCGAACUACACCCAGAAGGUGUUGCGCCGUUUUAAUGAGGAUAAAGCGAAGCCUUCGAGUACUCCUAUGGUCGUUCGUACGCUAGAUGCAAAGCGAGAUCCCUUCCAUCCGAAGGAGGAUGAUGAAGAGAUUUUGGAGCCUGAAGUUCCUUAUCUAAGUGCGAUAGGCGCUUUAUUGUACUUAGCUCAAUGCACUAGACCCGACAUCUCCUUCGCUGUUAAUCUUUUGGCAAGAUACAGCAAUGCACCAACACGCAGACAUUGGACUGGCGUGAAAGACAUCUUCCGUUACCUUAAGGGUACUACGGAUUUGGGCUUAUUCUAUCCCUACGAAUCCUCGAGUGAUGCCGUACCCUAUGCUCAUCGGGUUGAUUCUCGCCUUGUUGGUUAUGCCGACGCUGGAUACUUAUCUGAUCCGCACAAGGCGCGUUCUCAAACGAGUUAUGUCUUUACCGUUGGAGGCACCGCAAUAUCUUGGAGGUCAACUAAACAGACCUUAGUUGCCACUUUCGUCUAACCAUGCUGAAAUUCUCGCCUUACAUGAAGCAACUCGGGAAUGCUUUUGGUUGAGAGCAGUAGUGGGCCAUAUUCGAAGCUCCUGUGAUCUUCAUCCCGCCGUUAAUGCCCCGACGACGAUUUUUGAAGACAACGCAGCUUGCAUCGAACAGCUCAAGAAGGGUUACAUCAAAGGAGACAACACCAAGCAUAUUGCGCCGAAGUUCUUCUUUACACAUCAACAACAAGAGCAUCAGAAGAUUGAAGUCACGCAAAUCCGAUCACAAGACAAUCUGGCCGACCUCUUCACCAAAUCACUACCGAAGGCGACGUUUCAGAAGCUUGUUCAUGGAAUUGGUAUGCGUAAACUUUCUGAGUUGUAACUUUGCUAUUUCUCUGUGGAAUUAUGUCAAACUCAGGGGGAGUAUCUUCUAGAUACUUGCUUGAUCUUAAUGUACUCUUUUUCCCUACGAUUAGGAGCAUUUUUCCCACUGGGUUUUUGCUACCUAACUAGGUUUUAACGAGGCACCCACCUUGGGCUGGUCAUAUCCCUGAUGACGUCCUGUAGACGUUUCUUUUGACUUUGCAUUUCUCACGCAUUUUUCCUUAGACUAUGGAUUUUGUCCCUACUUGGGUUUUUGCCAUAGCCUUAGGGUUUUUUAGUGAGACUUACUACUUAUGCAAGUUCCUACCUUAUUGAGAAUAAGCGUUGUUCCUUGGAAUCAAUGCCGACGAGUCGACUUCCUCAACUUCUGCAUGAUGCUGAAUCUACCUUGAGUAUUUACCCACUCAAGGGGGAGUGUUGUAAACAUUCCUAGUUUAAGUAUGAUUGUGUAAAUCCUAGAUAAGAUUUGAUUCUAGUUAUUCUUUCCUAUUACAACUUGUAUUACUUGGAGGAGAAGAAAUAUUCUUCUCUCCCUUUACUACUAUAAAUAAAGGCACAAUGUAGGAGGGAUAACAACACACACAUUCCCCUACAAUUCUACAAACACACAUCUCUCUCCUCUCUCUCUCUGCCGCCGGCCCUAGUCCCUCUGUCAGAUAAAAUAGACCACAACACAAUCCUCUCUUUUCCUAUUGGAAUGAGGAUUUUCUCCCAAUCUUCUUUGUGAUGAUCCUGACAUUGAAAAUUUUAUUUUAUUUUACCGGAAUAUGGAUGGAACACCACUUGUUUUCAUAUAAGUAGUAGAAAAUAGAAGAUCUUCACAGAGAGAAUUCGAAGAGGAUCCUCAAUCCAACCAUUGACCUAACGAUGUUGUUGGGCUGACGUGUCAUAGUAAUUUUAUAGUAUUGGGCUCGCAUGAUGUUGGGCUCAAGGCCCACUAGGCCUACUUCGGGUUUUGAAAUAUAAAAGUAGACGUUGGAGUUGUUUUGGUCAUUAAGCGUCGUCUAUCGCCAUUCCCCGCUCUCUCUUCUGGCCCUCUGGGCAUUUCAAAUUCAAACCAAGUCAAAAUUCAAACCCCUCUUCGCGUUUCUCAGCCACAGACUGAGCCAAGAAGCCCCCAAUGGAAGGCCGAGAGCCACCGCCUUCUCCGUCGCCGUCGCCUUACAGAAACCCCUCCACUCUCUUCAAAGACAUCACCAAUUUCAAAACCCCGAAACCCUCCUCGCGAAUCUCCAAUUUCCAGUCCCCCGGCCCCAAAUUCUUCACUGCCUCGAAACAAACCCCUGGUACUUCUUCGUCAUUUCGCCGCAGGCCGUCUCUCGCUCCGUCAAACUCUGGCCGGAUAAAGGCGGCGUCCCGGAAACUCAAGGCAUUUGAGCUCGAGCAGUCGCAGUCGUCCCGCAAGGCCCAAAUUCAGAAAGAACAAUCGCUCAAGUCGCUGGCCAAGUCUCUCUCCGUCUGGCUCAAUUUCCUCUUUCAAAACCCUACAUCCUGUGGCUGCAAUUUGUCCGUCGAUGGAGACCGCACGGGAACGCUCCCCAAGGGAAAGAGGGAUAGCGAUCCCGGCAGUGCGGUUGGGGUUGAUUCGGCGUGGCGGGACCCCAAGCGUCAGAGAGACUCGUCGUGGCGGGCCGUGAGCGCUGUAGCGUUUUCGAGCUCCAAGUAUUCGAACCUGCGUUCUUCGUUGGAGCAUGUGUGCAGUGUUGAUGAUUUGACGCAGAGGAUGCGACUCUAUCUGAGCAUGGGCAGUUGCAAGGAGGUUUUCGAUGCGAUGACUCAUGUAGCAAAGGUUUGAAUUCUCAGAAUCUUUCGUAUGAUUUUCUUUUCAUUUGUUUGGUUGCUAAGAAAGUUAGAGAAAAUUUUAGUAUUUGACCAACAUGUUGACUGUUUUAUUUAUUACGCAGAAUAUUGAUGAAGGGAGAUUAAAGAUGAAGGCACAUUGUCCUUUAGUUACGGAUUUUGGGUUGAAGGAGAAGGCCACUAGAAUCCUCAUGAGUUAUAACCCAAUUUGGCUUCGAAUUGGAUUGUACAUUGUUUUUGGUGGAGAUUCUUUGUUGUCUGACAGAGAUGCUAAUUCUGAUGAAGAACUCAGGUUUCUGAAAAUGAUCAUUGAGAAGCAAUUUUUUGCACAUUCGGGUCUAGCAAAAGAUUAUGCUUACAACAAGAAGGUUGAGGGUCUUUACAGACCGGGUUAUUACGAAGCUCUGGGAAACGUCACUUUGAAGAGAUUUCUGAUGCUCGCUCUUAUCCUUGAUAGAGCGAAAUGCCAGAGCAGUCUUUCUCUUAAGUAUGGAAUUGAUGGAGUGGAUGGGGGUUCUCCGUUAUUGUUUACAGUUGAAUCUCGUAUUAAAUCGAGUCAUCAGGUGAUCCAUGGUAAUCAUCGCUCCAUUUCUCUGUUGCUCGUUGAUUGUUUUGUAACUGUCCUGGUUGAACUAUAGGGUUGACUUUUCUUUAAUUGUGGUUCAAAACUAGAUUUUCUGUCAUCUGAUGUCAUGCUUGGAGAAGGUAAUAUUUCAGCACAUCUGGUGGUUUUAGGAUACAAAGUAUCCUAUCAGCAGGUAGAUUGCUCAUUUUAUGUGUGACACUCAUUUACAUCGGAUUCUGUUUAAGUGUGUAUUUUCAGGAUGUGAGCGAAAGAAGUGUCUUUUAAGAUUUGUUCAAGAUUGGGCCCUUUCCAUUGAUGAUGAGGCAUAAUGUUUCAUUAUUUAGUAUCAACAAAAUUAUUUUCACUUUGUCUAAUCGACGAUUGAUAUUUGUUAUUGUGCAGCAUCCCCUUGUUGAAUAUGACUUCCGAGUUACAAAUUUAUUUGCUGAUCUUCAAGAUGGGGUGCGACUGUGCAGAGCCAUUCAACUUUUGCUAGAUGACGCCUCUAUCCUCACGGUUGUUAUUUUUCUUUCUUUAUACUUUGAAUAAAUAGGCAGGUCCAAUUAUUGUUUAACAGAAUGUUUAUCUUAGUUAGUGAUUUCACUGUUGCAUUGGGGAACAGAAAAUGGUUGUUCCAGCAGAUACGCUUAAGAAGAACAUGGCAAAUUGUGGCAUUGCCCUGCAGUACCUUAAACAGGCUGGCGUUGUUUUACAUGAUGAAGACGGAAUGAUGAUUGUGGCAGAUGAUAUUGCUGGCGGGGACAAGGAACUUACUCUUUCCUUGCUCUGGAACGUGUUUGUCCAUUUGCAGGCCUGUUCCUUUCUUCUCCCUCCUAUCGUUAAGAAUUCUUUAUGAGUUUACCGUUAUCUGCUUGUUGGUAACAUUCUUCAUUAACUUUGUCAUUGAACUUGCAGCUACCGCUUCUGGUCAAGAAAACAAACUUAGCUGAGGAAAUUUGCAAAAUUCGUGGCAGUGUGGUAUGUCCAUUUCAAUGAGGAUAAGUUUCUUAUUAGUUUACCUGUUGGUCAAUAUAUUGUUGUGGUAUUAUGUUUACAUGGUCUAUAGUUUCAAUUAAAAAUUGACCUUUAAUCAUUCUCUUCUGUUUCACAGAUCAGUUUUGAUUCCUCUUCAUUGGAAAUGAUUUUAAAAUGGAUUCAGGUAUUGCUGCUAAUAUAUAGCCGAAAGUUUAUCAGCUUAUUCUUAUUAUGGGGUUUGAAUAGCAUUCUUUUGCAAUUUAACAAACACAAUCUGCAAUUUGUCUAAGUUACACAAAAAAUCACUGCUCUGCUCCUGAUAAUCAUUUUUAUUGGGGGUUUUCAGGCAAUUUGUGAAAAUUAUGAUUGCAAGGUUGACAGUUUUGCUUCAUUGGUUGAUGGAAAAGCCAUAUGGUGCUUGCUGGACUAUUACUUUCGUAAGCAACUAUCUUGUGGUCGGUCAUCAAAGGUACUAUAUGUAUAAUUUACCUCCUAUAAUUUUUUGUGAACAUAGAGAUUUAGUUCCCUCUCUUCAUUCACAUUAAAUUAUAUGUUACAGGAUCGUAAUAAAUCAAGUCACGAAGAAUCAAUCAUGUUGGCCACUGAUUAUUCAGAUGCAGUGCACAACUUUUUAUUAUCCCAGAAAUUGUUGACGUUAUUGGGAAACUUUCCAGAGGUUUGUGCUGGUUUUCUUUUCUUCAUUUUCACUUCUUCGUGAACUUCCCAUCUAGCUUAAAUUUUGCCAAAUCCUACCAUUUGAAUACCUUUGCCAGCUUAAUAUACAAUCAUCUUGAAAUAUUUCAACAGGUUCUGCAAAUUAGUGACAUUCUUGAAUACAACGGUGCACGAAAUGACCGGAGUGUGGUGAUACUAUUGGUGUUCCUUUCAUCUCAACUUAUUGUCAAGAAAAAUAUGGUAAUAAAUGAUGUUUAUCGUUUAAAAAGAGCUGAUAUUUUAUUAUGGUGGAAGAAUGGAUUCAGCUGUUGUCAUAAUACUUUAACAUUGAGUAUCUCUUUGGCAGGACCAAUUAAAUUUCCAUAAACUCUUGGGUUGUGAUUGCCAAAGUACAGACAGAAAAUAUACAUGUAUGGGAUGCUAUGUAAGACCCGAAGCAACACAGGUCGAAGAGGAAACAUAUGACCACCACAUCGAAGGUUUCUUUCCCUUGUUUUCUUGUAUCUGUCUUCAAGGUUAAUUUUAUUUGUUCAUUUGUUGAAACUGAUUGCUUUAUUUGUAUUUUUCAUUUGUUGUGAUGUUUGUAUAUACAAACAGAUUCUGUAAGAAAGUUUAAGGCUAUUCAGGCCUGGUGGCAAGAUAUGGCUGAAAGGAACCAUAAAUCUGUUGCAAAACCAACUUCUCCUACUUCGCUUAACCUAUCUACGAAUAAGGAUAACAUUAAUAUUGAAAAAGGUAAUUGUAUUAUCUUCUGUAGCUCAAUGCUAGAGUAAUGUCUGUCGUGUUGCCAUUUCUUGUUACCCCUUGCUAGUUCCUCUCUCUUCACUCAGUUCUCUGACUCCAAAGUUCUUUUCUUUUAUUUCCCCGAUUUUCUUGAUUUAUUUGUAUUCCGUCACUCAGAGGAGAGUUUAUUGCUUACCUGUAAUUUUAUUCUAUCAUUUUAUUUCUGGUCCUGAUAUCGUAAGUGUGGUAUAUACUGUUCUCUUUCUGAUGGAGGAAUCCAUAUCUGAUACUUGCAGUAAAUACUGACAAAGGCAAUUAUGAGGGAGGAAGUAUUGUAACUCAUGAUAUAUCUACUCCUGAUCUAGUUAAAGCUGCCAUUGUUGUCCAAAGAUAUAUUCGUGGGUGGCUUGCAAGGUUGAGAUACAUUCAUGGGGUUGCUCUUGUAGAUAAAUCUUGCAAUCGGUGCCAAGAAAAUGUUGUGCGUGAUCUUCAAGUAAGGGCAGAAAAUACUGAGAAAAGCAAUUAUGAGGGAGGAAGUAUUGUAACUCAUGAUAUAUCUGCUCCUGAUCUAGUCAAAGCUGCCAUUGUUGUGCAAAGAUAUAUUCGUGGGUGGCUUGCAAGGUUGAGAUACAUUCAUGGGGUUGCUCUUGUAGAUAAAUCUUGCAAUCUGUGCCAAGAAAAUAUUGUGCGUGAUCUUCAAGUAAGGGCAGAAAAUACUGAAAAAAGCAAUUAUGAGGGAGGAAGUAUUGUAACUCAUGAUAUAUCUGCUCCUGAUCUAGUCAAAGCUGCCAUUGUUAUCCAAAGAUAUAUUCGUGGGUGGCUUGCAAGGUUGAGAUACAUUCAUGGGGUUGCUCUUGUAGAUAAAUCUUGCAAUCUGUGCCAAGAAAAUAUUGCGAGUGAUCUUCAAGUAAGGGCAGAAAAUACUGAAAAAAGCAAUUAUGAGGGAGGAAGUAUUGUAACUCAUGAUAUAUCUGCUCCUGAUCUAGUCAAAGCUGCCAUUGUUAUCCAAAGAUAUAUUCGUGGGUGGCUUGCAAGGUUGAGAUACAUUCAUGGGGUUGAUCUUGUAGAUAAAUCUUCCAAUCUCUGCCAAGAAAGUGUUGCGCGUGAUCUUCAAGUAAGGGCAGCAGUUAAAAUCCAGCUUGCGUGGAAGAAUUUUUCUUUCUGUCAUUCUCUUCUCUAUCAGCUUUCCGCUGCAACUAAAAUUCAAAGUCAUUUUCGUGGUUGGCUAGUGAGGAGGAGGUCUCAUAUUAAAAGGCAAGCAAUAAUAAAAAUCCAAAGUGUAUAUCGAAUGUCAAGAUGCUGGAAGGCUUAUCAGCAAUACAAAAUUGCAGCUGGUUCAGCCACCGUCAUUCAAUCUUAUAUACGUGGAUGUUUUGCCAGGAAAGGCGCUGAAAAUCAUAGGCUUCUCAUUGUUGCAAUCCAAGUAAGUAUUUCUCCAUGUCUUCUGAGCAUAUAGAAACCUUGUCAUAUUAAAGCAAUCUUUUGUAUGCAACUUAAUUCUAUUGUUGUAGUUUUAUACUAUCUAGAUGUGUGACUAAUUUUCUCCCCUUUUCUAUUGUGCAAGUAUCAUGUCUCAGUAGUGUGCUUAAAUGAUUUCAGAGAUACUUCCGUGGCUGGUUGAUCAGAAGUCAAUUCUCGUGUCAAAGACAGGCUGCAAUAAAGAUCCAAAGUGCUAUUCGAGGCUUGAUAUGGCGUCAAUCAUUUCAUCGUCAUAGACAAGCUGCAGUGGAAAUUCAACGGAUAGUCAGGGGGCAGAUUAGUCGAAAUAGGCUCUUAGGUAUAUUACUACAACCUUUCCUGACUGGUUCUUACCCAUUUUAUUUAUUUGUGUUGGAUGUUCUAGCCUUGAAUAGAAACUUACAGUUACAAAUGUUUAUGGCUUUGGUUUGUUGCAGGUGCUGCUUCCCUACGCCCAAUCGUCCGCAAUGGUUGUCCUUUGAAUAGAACAGAAGCCCUUUAUAUGGGUGCUGAACUAAAUAAAGUUGUUUGCUCCGUGUUGAAAUUGCAAAGGUGGUGGAGGAGUGUCAUGUCACUAAACUUUAGAACGAAUUCUGCAGUCAUUAUUCAGUCUCAUAUUCGAGGGUGGUUUGCUAGGCAAAAAGCUGUUAGAGAGAGGCAAUGUAUUGUUGCGAUACAAGUAAGAUAUAUCCCUUAAUGUUUCAUUUGUUCUCAUUAGUCUCUUUUAUUCAGUAGAAAUCUAAUGUUACCAGUUAAAUGUGGCUGAAGUAUUAGUCCACUGCAUUUAUGAAAAACUUGGAGUUACAUAAAUGUCGAAAGAAUGCUCUAGCAGCUAGACCUUCGAUUGAUGUAUUUCUUUGACUUAAUGUUCCUUCCAUUGUUUUUGGUUUCUGUUAUGAAUCAAAAUGUCAAACAGGGUAAAAACCUGUAGUCGUAGAAUUAUUUUUGGCUAUUUUUGAAUAUAUUGUUUUCGCCAUUGUUUUGUACUUAUUACUGAAUUCAGUAAAUUAACAGAACCGAUUUUGAGUGACAGUCAUGCUGGAGAGGCUACCUUCUAAGGAGGAAAGAGACGGAAGGUCAGCUACUGGAGCUGCGCUUGAGAGUGCAAAAGUCUGCCACAAAUGUAGAUGAUAGCAUGCGGAUUAUAAACAGACUUGUAGCAGCACUUUCGGAGCUACAAACAAUGAAAAGUAUCAGCGGCAUUCUUCACACUUGUGUUACUUUGGGUAAGUUGUUAGUGAUUGUAUGAUACACUCCAUUUCCAACAUUUCUUGAUCCAAGUUUGCAUGCAUUACGCUAAUUUUACAUUUCAGAAUAGAUUCGACAACAUUUCCAUGGUUUGUUCAUGAUUCUAAAUUCAUGUCUUUCCAUUAUUCCUACAUGAAAUGUAAUCCUAGCAUGGUGUACUUACGUUAUAAUCCUACUUGCAGACAAGGCCACUGCACAUUCUCAGAAAUGUUGUGAAAAACUCGUGGAGGAAGGAGCUAUUAAAACAUUGCUGAAGAUUUUUGGCUCAGCCACUCGAAGUAUACCCGAUCAGGAGGUUCAAAAACACGUGCUCUCAACUCUAAGGAACCUUGCCCGCUAUCCACACCUGGUAGAAGUGCUAAUUGACAGUCCGGGAUCAGUAGAAACUGUUGUAUGCGAGUUUGUAAGGUUCGUAAGCCAUAUACUCUCAAAUAUGAUUUGCCAAAAUGAACGUUUGUUAUCUUGGUUUAACGGCUAAUAACUUACCCUAACUUCAGGAACAAGGAAGAGGGUUAUUUCACAGCUUCCGAACUUCUGAAGAAGGUUUGUGCUAGUCGUAAAGGCGUUGAAGCUGUGCGUAAAUCGCCCGCUCUUUUGAAAAGGCUACACAAUCUUGUUGAGGAACUUAGUAGGAAGGCUGGCAACAAUGACAAGAGGUCAGAUUUAAUCAAAGAAUCUCUCGUUUUUUCUUUGGAAACUUAAAUUAAACGAUCGUUAAGCUCUAAUUAGUACCAUCUUAAUCUUAAUGCAGGAAUGCCGGCCGAGUUACAGUUGCUAGAGAAGCUACGGAAAGGAGAUUAAGGGAGGCUGUUGAAAUUAUGAAAAUGGUAAAACAGAGGUACUAGUACUAUUUACUAGGGUAACUUGUUGAGUUCCAGAGUGUUUAAAAAGUUACCUUGGUUAGUUAUGAUGUAUUGCUGACGUGUGUAUUUUGCCAUUGAAUUUACACGUUCAAUGGGUGGGGGGAGUGAGAAGGACAGGGCAACUUGAUUUGGUUGAUGCACCUCAAAUUGAAUGCUUGGUUUUUUUUUUUCCACUUGUGGUUUUGUAAAUUUUCUAUCGAGUGCUUAAUUCUAUGAGUUUCAUUUGAUAAUUUUUUCGUUUUUUAUGCGUUAAGCUGAAGACCCACUCAAAGUCAACAAGGCUUUUAAUUUUGGGAGGGUUGAGAAUGGAUGUUUAUUGUAUGCAGUUUUAUUUUUGUUUUGCAAAAAAUUGUUUCAUGAUUCGAACUUGUAGGGGUGGUCACUUAGAACCGAAAACUGAAACCGAAACACGAACCAAAUUGAACCGCACCGAACGGUUUGGUUUUGCGGUUUUGAAACGGUUUCGGUUUUGAAACCGAACUGCAAUAUAGAAAAUGGUUUGGUUUCGGUUUUGGCUUUAGAAAACUGCACUGAAACCGAACCGCACCGCAAAUAUUAAUAAACAUUUAAUUAAAUGUCCAUAUUAGAUUUCAUAUUUUAAUUGGUCGUUUGUUAAAAUCCAUACACUUAGUAUGGACUCAACCACACUAGAAUAUCAUCAUUCAUCACUUUCUUUUGUUCAUUAACUUGAAAGACCUUUGUUAUUUUAUACCAUCACACACACAUAUAUGUAUAAGGGUGGACUAAUCUUGUUAUCAAGAGUCGAACAAUGAUCUACUGAAGUCCACUCAUUUGAAGCAUGAUAUCAUAUAUUCUAGUAUGAAAGUUUCACUCACGUUUAAUGAAUUCAAAUUUAUUCAACUUGUUUUAUGAAAAACAUUGUAAGGGACACCUUUUUCGUUGCACAAACAUGUUUUAACAUCACAACUACAUGCAACAUGCUAAUUGUUUACAUAACAUAUGUCAUUUUCCUAUUACUAAUGGGAAAUGCUUUUUAAUAUGUUAAAUUGCAAAUUGUACAUUUUUUCUUAAAAAUCAAACCGAAACGUUUGAAACCACACCGAACCUAACCAAACGGUUUGGUUUCAUUUUGGUUUUGGCUUCAAAACCGCACCGAACCAAACCGCAAAAACUUGCGGUUUUGGUUUUGGUUUCACUCAAAACCACGCCCACCCCUACGAACUUGUGACAUUUUAGUUACAAAAGAACAACUUAUUCGUUAUAUCAAAACUCGUCCUCACUUAUUAAUAUUAAAAACAGUAUAAUUUUGUUUAGACUAUAAUUUUUCAAUUAUUUUGAGAAUAUUUUUUGUCAUACAAUAUGCAAAUAACGCAAUGUCGAGUGAUAUAUAUUUCCUUAACAUUAUAUGAUCGGAAGAGACAACUAUUGAGUUUUGUGGUCCUUAAGCCUGCAGCCGGCGGUCCUCCAGUUAUCUUGAUAAUAUUUUAUAGCAUUCCCAAAAGAUUUUGGAUCUACCUUGGAAAUAUUAAUCGCUUUAUUUGAUCCCCAACACAAAAUCCCAUGAACCGUCUUUUAUUCUCGUGACUAGCAUUAUCCUCUUUUGCGGCCACAACAAGUUUUAUACUGUCCAUUUUUUAAUUUAUGAGAAAAGAACAGCCGGUAACUACGCUUCUAACCAACGUCAGAUAUUUGGUUUGAGAUCGAAUAUUUUUUUAUCAAUUAUAUUUUGAUAGUGUUAUUAUUAACAUUUUAAAAUUUUUACCGUGCGAUGCUCAUAAUAUAUAUAUAUAUAUAUAUUAUAUUUUUUAUAUUUUUUUAAAUCCAGAAGUUUGGGAGUAUUGCUAUUUAAUAAUCAAAGGGAUCAUGAACUUGAAAUGGCUACGAAGUUUGAUUGGUAUUUGAGGGAAGUUCGACUUUGGUUCUUAUAGUUUCAAUUGUUACAAUUGAAUGACAUAGAUUUUCAGAAAUUUUCAAACAUAAUUAAUACUUAAAUUUGAUUUUUACCUUAAUUUUGGAUUACUGUCGCGUUGAAAACCAAUUAUUAUUAGAAUUCACUUAAUUAAGUUGUCGUCAUUGAAUUGUAAGUAGUAGUAAACUAAAUGCGUCAAAUCAUGAUCACUGAAACUACAAUAAUCGAUUGGUAACUAUUUUUCUAUUAGUUGGACUAUUCUUCUUUGAUUUACUGCAUUUUGAAUCCAAACACCCUAAUUAGUAAUAAAUCAUUUGUAAUAAAAACCACUAUAAAACCAAUAAACCCAUUAAACUAUUAAGGAUAAAAAUGUAAUUACACCUUCAAGGGAUAAUACUUAGAGGCUAAGGAAUGUUUAGUUUGUUAGCUUAGUUACACUUUCUGUUAGUUGUAAUGCCAACUGUGAUAGUUGUGAUAGUUGUAUAUAAAUACUCAAAGUGUAAAAGUUAUUUUUUGAUUUAAUGAGAAUAUUUCUCCUAAUAUGGUAUCACUCGCCCUCAGUCUCACGACGUUUCUUUUUCGAUCCUCUUUUCCUGCUUCUCUCUGCACCGCUUCAUCUUCUCCGAUCCAUUGAUCUUGUUCUUGAUCUUGAUCGUGUCUUGGUUGUUCUUGAUCGUAUCUUGUUCUUCUCGAUUGUGAUUUCUCUCUCAAUCCAGCUAUGGUGACUGCUACAUCUUCCCUCUUUUGAGUCCACCGAUCCACAUCCUAACCCUAAUUCUUGCGAUUUCUUCCUCCAUUACCAUCCAAAAUAUUGGAUCUAUGGUUCCGCUCAAGCUUACCACCACAAAUUACCUGACCUGGAGUGCCUUAUUUGCUCCAAUUCUUCGUCGCUACAAUCUUACUGGUCCUUAUUGAUGGAUCCAUGGCGGCGCCGCCCCAAAUAUCUUCUUGAUUCUUCUGGCAAUCGCACCGCCACUCUCAAUCCUGCUUAUGUUACUUGGUUUGAGAAUGAUCAGAACAUUCUCAUCUGGAUCAAUUCAACUCUAUCUGAUUCUUUGAUUCCUUACACAGUUGGCGUCACUUCUGCUCGCGAACUUUGGGCGAAAUUGGAAUCGCGUCUCGCCACUGCAUCUCAGUCUCACAUCCAUGAGCUUCGUUCUCGUCUUCGCAGUCUUGUUAAAGGUGAAUUGACUGCUGCUCAAUAUCUCCAGCAAAUUGAAGAAAUUGUCGAUGCCCUAGCAAGUGCUGGUGCUCCUGUUGAAGAUUCCGAUCUCAUAUCCGUCACACUUCAUGGCUUACCUCCUGAAUUUGAUUCUUUUGUGGAUGCUAUUCAGUUUCGUCUUGGUUCCACGACUAUUGAUGAAUUACACGGUUUACUUCUCAGUAAGGAGAUUCAACUCAACAAUCGGAAGAAAUCUGUCUCCACUGCACCAUUCCAGGCAUAUAAUUCCUCAGCUGGUAUUCUUCCCUUGCCUGCUCCCUCUAUCCCUCAGGCAUUUACUGCCCAGCAUCUUUCUCAGUUCUCCAAUCAAGGUCGCAAUGUGGAUCGCAAUUAUCCGGGCCCAAAUCGGGGCACUUUUCAGAAUCGUGGAAAUUCCAGAUUCAACAAUGGCAGGAAUACCUACUCUCGUAAUAAUCAGCGAUUCAAUUGUGAAGCUCGCAAUAACUCAUCUUUCCCUCGAAAGCUUUUCUGUCAGAUUUGUCGACAACCAGACCAUGAGGCUUGUAAUUGUCCUCAUCGCAUGGAUCAAAACUACAAUGGCAAAUCUUCUCAUUCUGCAAUGGUUGCUGGUACCUCUCCUUCUACUCCUACCUGGAUUGUUGACUCUGGUGCUAGUUCCCAUAUGACAAACUCAUAUGCUAACCUUCAGAAUCCAGAAGCCUACACUGGUCCUGAGCAAGUGUAUAUUGGAGAUGGCAAAGGUUUGCCUAUUCUCCAUUCUGGCUCAUCCUCUUUACAUACUUCUACUAAUUCUUUUGCUUUAAAGCAUGUCUUACAUGUUCCUGCUUUAAAGCACAAUCUUCUCUCUGCUAAUCAAUUUCUUCUUGACAAUUCUUGCUCUAUGCAUCUUUAUCAUUUUCACUUCACUGUGAAGGAUCUUUCUUCGGGGAGAAUGCUUUUUAAAGGACCGGUUCAACAUGGCUUCUAUCCUUUUCACUCAUCCUUCUCUCCUGCUACCUCGAGUCAAGCUUUAGCUGCCUCUGUCAAAGCUCCCCAGCAUCUUUGGCAUCAAAGACUGGGCCAUCCUUCUGUAAAGAUCAUGAAUAAGUUGGUUUCUCAAUCCUGUAUUUCUGUUCUUGCUGCUUCAAAUAAAGCUUUUUGCUCCGAUUGUGCACUAGGAAAAUGUUCUAAACUUCCAUUUUCUAGUACUACUUGUCAUACGGAUGUUUGGGGACCCUCACCCAUCCUGUCUCAUCAUGGUUUUCGGUAUUAUGUCAUUUUCAUAGAUGACUAUACCAGAUAUUGUUGGUUCUAUCCUUUAUGGUGUAAAUCUGAUGUUCUCUCCACCUUUAUGCAAUGGAAAUUACUUGUUGAGAAUUCUCUGUGUACAAAAGUUAUUUCAUUACGUUCAGAUUCUGGUGGUGAAUAUGUUAGUACUGCAUUCUCUCAGUUCUUAGCUCGCCAUGGCAUUCAUCAUCAGCUCACUUGUCCUCAUACCCCCGAGCAAAAUGGGUGUGCCGAACGUAAGCAUCAGCAUAUUGUUGAGACUUCUCGAACUCUCCUGGCAGUCUAAAGUGCCUCAUGCUUAUUGGGUUGAGGCUUUUGCAACCUCUGUUGAUCUCAUCAACCGGCUACCCACAAUAUCUCGAUACUCUCCUUGGCAGUCUCUUUUCCAGAAAGCUCCUGACUAUACAUCUCUCAAGGUUUUUGGUUGUUGCUGUUUCCCUUGGUUGAAACCAUACACAUCCUCCAAACUUGAUCCUAAAAGCACACCCUGUGUCUUCUUGGGUUAUAGCUUAAAUCACAAGGGCUAUCUAUGUCUAAAUCCAUCUACUAACCGGUUGUAUAUUUCAAGACAUGUCCUCUUUGAUGAGUCUACUUUUCCCUUUCAUACCUUACAAUCGUCUCCAUCUCAAACCUGUCUCUCCUCCUCUCCCUUAUACUCCCCCUCUAUUCCCUCAUCGCUCACAUUUCACUCUGUCUCCACCCCACCUACACCCUCUGCCCCUUCUACAACCCAGAUUCCCACCUUGCCAGCAUCUUCAAAUCUGCUCCAACCAUCUGCAGCUUCCCCAAAUCCCUGCUCCCAACCUACAGUACCUAUCAACACCCACCAAAUGCAAACUCGUUCAAAAUCUGGCAUAUUCAAACCCAAAGCCCUAGCUGCAACCAAACACCCUAUUCCUUCCCAUCUUGUAGUUGACUAUGUUCCUUCAACCUACCUACAAGCUUCUAAACACUCUCAUUGGCGCAAGGCAAUGCAAGAAGAGUUCAAUGCCCUUGCCUCCACUGGUACAUGGUCACUUGUACCCCCUUCUUCCUCUCAUAACCUUGUGGGCUGUAAGUGGGUGUUUCGGAUCAAACGAAAACCCGAUGGUUCUAUUGACAGGUACAAAGCCCGUUUGGUUGCUAAGGGUUUUCACCAACAAGAGGGUCUUGACUACACUGAAACAUUUAGUCCCGUGGCAAAACCAGUGACUAUUCGUCUCCUGCUCACUAUUGCUACUCAGUUUGAUUGGUUCCUCAAUCAAUUAGAUGUCAGUAAUGCCUUUCUCCAUGGCACCCUUACUGAAUCAGUGUUUAUGCAACAGCCCCCUAGCUUUGAAGAUCCAACCUACCCGCAUCAUGUUUGUCAUCUUCACCGAUCUCUUUAUGGUUUGAAACAGGCUCCUCGAGCUUGGUAUGACAAGCUUCAUAAUGCUCUGCACUCUCUUGGUUUUCAUGGGUCCAAAAGUGAUCAUUCUCUGUUUAUAAAGAGUUCUUCUACUCCGGUGUUCAUACUUGUCUAUGUCGAUGACAUCUUAGUCACCGGCCCCUCUCCUGCAGCCUGUCAACAGGUCAUCACUCAACUCAGUGCUCUGUUUCCCAUCACAGAUCUUGGUGCUCUUCAUUACUUUCUUGGUAUUGAAGUUAAACGAUCCUCUUCUGGUCUUUUCAUCUCUCAAACCAAGUAUAUUUUGGAUCUAUUUGGCCAAAGCAAAAAUGGAUGGUGCCAAGCCUGCAGCACCCCUCUCAGUACAAACCAAGCUGGAUCACUUGUCUCCUCUGCUCGAUAAUGCUUCUGAAUAUCGAUCUCUUGUUGGAGCUCUUCAGUACUUGACUUGGACUCGGCCUGAUCUUAGUUUUGCUGUGAAUUUGGUAUGUCAGUUUAUGCAUAGUCCCCGACUUUCCCAUCUGCAAGCAGUAAAACGUAUUCUUCGCUAUCUUAAAGGUUCUCUUGAUCUUGGAUUAUGGUUCCCCAAGUCCUCUCAAGUUCCGUCUAUUCAAGCCUUUUCCGAUGCCGAUUGGGCGGGAUGUUCCUUGGACAGAAGAUCCACAGGCGGAUACUGUGUCUAUUUUGGCAAAUCUCUCAUUAGUUGGAGUGCCAAGAAGCAACCUACUGUUGCUCGUUCCUCCACAGAAGCGGAAUAUCGCUCUCUUGCAAAUACGGCUGCGGAAAUCACAUGGAUAUGUAAACUGCUUGCUGACCUCUCUUAUUCUCUGCCUCAUUCUCCCACGAUCUGUGUGACAAUCUCUCUGCCAUUUCUUUAGCGAAAAAUCCUGUUUUUCAUGCUCGAACAAAGCAUGUCGAGCUUGAUUAUCAUUAUAUUCGUGAAAAGGUUCUCGCCAAUCAAAUUUCUGUGCAGUUUAUCAGUACACAGGAUCAGGUGGCUGAUAUCUGCACCAAAUCUCUGUCCCAACCUCGGUUCAUCCUUCUUCGUGACAAACUCCAACUGAGAUUACCCAGUCUCGUUUGCGGGGGGAUAUUAAGGAUAAAAAUGUAAUUACACCUUCAAGGGAUAAUACUUAGAGGCUAAGGAAUGUUUAGUUUGUUAGCUUAGUUACACUUUCUGUUAGUUGUAAUGCCAACUGUGAUAGUUGUGAUAGUUGUAUAUAAAUACUCAAAGUGUAAAAGUUAUUUUUUGAUUUAAUGAGAAUAUUUCUCCUAAUAUAAACAUCACUUAAAAUGGCAAGAAAUUAAAGAGGAAUACAUAAAAUAGUUUAAAACAUUCGUACAAUAAUGUGAGAACUCAUAUCAAGUACAAUCCACCAAUCCUUCGCUUAACAAAAGUAGAAUCCCCACAACUAUUUUUUUUUUUUGAAAAAGUACGAUAUUCGUUAAUAACAAAUGAAAUAUGUACAUCAAUAAGAAUAUGGUGCAAAUAGAAUGUCUCGAUAAAAACCUUACCGAGAUUUUAAACUAAUCGAAAAGAAAAAUAGUACAACUAAUUAUUAUCUAAUUAAUCUUAUUUUAAUUUGCCAUGUUUAAACUAAAAACUAAGCAGCCCUUGCAAGAACUUCAAGCCUUUCUGGCACAUCAGCUGGCUCAAUGAAGAAAGCCCUCCUCAGAGAUCUCGGCACCGUGACUGUCAACACUCCGUCUUCAUAUCUGGCUGAAAUCCGUUCGAUAUCGACCCGGCCCGGAAGCCGGAACUUCCUCAUGAAGGUCCUGCUGCUAGGCUGCUCCGUGGACUCCUCCUCGAUCCUCUCUGUUCGAAUUAUGAGGUACACUGAGUCCUCCACUUCUACUUUUAUGUCCUCUUUCCUCACACCUGCUCAAAUCAUAUAUAACAACCACCAAAACCAAAGUUUCACCGCUAUUAAAAAAAGUGCGCGAAAAUCACUUCAUGAAAAAAGCAAUAAAAGCGAAAAACCAACAAAAGAAAAGAAAAAUUGGGUCGAUUAAUAAUAUUGUUACGUUGUUAAAUACAAAGAACUUCCCUUCCAUACAAAAGUGGAUGCCUGUUGCGUUAUCCCAAGCUAAUCUCAAACUGUCACGUUAGACUGGUAAACGUGACAGUGCGUGAUUUGCUUGAGAUAUUGCUGUCACAAUCCAGCAUCCAGUUGUAUGUAAGUUUCUCUCGGAAACUAAGAGGGAUGGUUGAAAUUACCAGGGAUGUCAGCCGAGAAAAUGUGAGAUUCAGGGGUCUCAGUCCAGUGCACAUAGUUUUCUGGGACCAAAUGGUAUGGAUAGAUGAGAUGA
RNAcentral lists this long non-coding RNA (42775 nucleotides) under Malus domestica (apple). RNAcentral's name for it is "long non-coding RNA (MDOM_LNC009763)". The record is from RNAcentral. Lineage: Eukaryota; Viridiplantae; Streptophyta; Magnoliopsida; Rosales; Rosaceae.